UUGAACAACCAACCUAAAUGACAUCUAGAAUAUUGAUCUUAUAGCAAAUAUUUGAAAUAUUAAAAAGGGAGUGCUUCAAUUUGUAAUGUGAUUAUGGUGGUAUAAUUAAUUUCUUCUUACACAUAUAUUUUGAAAUACUUGUCGAUGAAAUAACAUCUUAGAGUCAAAGUAAUCUGGAAGUGGGGACAAAUAGAUUAGCAUAUACAUAAAAUUAGACUCACCAGGAUUAUUGCAGCUGGUGAUGAGUACAUGGAAGUUCCUUAUAAUAUUCACCCUACUUUUUUCAUACAUAAAAUAUUUCUGAGGAGAAAAAUUUAAAAGAUACUUUAUUGCGAGUUACUGUUGUGGCUGAGCAGGUAAGAACUCGACAUAGCGUCCAUGAGCAUGCAGGUUUGAUCCCUGGCCUUAUUCAGUGGGUUACGGGUCCAGUGUUGCAGCAGCUUGCCAGAUGUGGCUUGGAUCUGGUAUUGAUGUGGCUGUGGUAUAGGCUGGCAGCCAUAGCUAUGAUUGGACCCCUAACCCAGGAACUUUCAUAUACUGCAGGUGCGGCCGUAAAAAUUUUUAAAAAGUAAAACAAAAAUACUAGUUUUGCUACUUCAUUGAAAAGGAAUCUCUUCAUAUAUUCAAUCAUUGAAUUGCUGACUUUAAAAUUAGAUGUAGUAGAAUAUGUAGGCCUUAGUAAGAUGAUGACUUGUUCAAUAAGACAGUUAUUAUUAACAGACCCAAUAGUGACAAUAUCAAAAGCCAAAUAACUAAUGAAUCACAAAAACCAAACUCAGAACUAGCCAAAACAUCUAGAGGGCAGAUCAAAAAUUUGAGAAAUUAAAACAAUUAGACAAGAAAAAUAAUUAAAAGCAUACAAAUUGGAAAGGAAGAAAUAAAAUCAUCUCUGUUCAUGGAGAUGUACAUAUAAGAUUUAAUCCCUAAAGAUUUAACUAUAACUGUUAAAACUAAUAAGUUCAGCAAACUUGCAGGAUACCAAAUCGAUACACAAAAGUCAAUUGUUUCUAUACACUAACAAAGAAUAAUCCAAAAAGUAUAUAAGAAGCAGUUCCAUUUACAGUAGCAUCAAAAAUGUGGUGGAAUACUUGCAUACUGAAUGCAAUAAAACACUGCUCAAAGAAAUUAAGAUGACACAAAACAAAUGGAAAGGUAUCACAUAUUUAUGGAUAGGAAGACUUCACAUUAUUAACAUGUCCAUACUAUCCAAGGCCAUCUAUAGGUCUAAUGCAGUAACAAUCAAAAUCUCAGUGGUGCAUUUUUCUAUUUAUGCAAAAAUUAUCCUAAAAUACAUAUGGCAUCUCAAGGGACCCUGAAUAGCCAAAACAAUUUUUGAAAAGAAGAAAAUUUGAAGAUGCACACUUCCUAAUUUCAAAACAUAGUACAAAGUUACAGUAAUCUGAACAGUAUAAUAUUGGUAUAAAGAUAAAUCCAUAUACCAAUGGAAUAGAAUAGAGAGCCCAGAAAUAAGCCUUUGCAUAUAUGGGCAAAUAAUCUAUAAUAAGGGUGCUAAGACCACUCAAUGGUGAAAGUAUUGUCUCUUCAACUAAUGGAGUGUUUCCAAAUAUGAAUAUUUACAUGCAGAAGUAUAAAGAUAGACCCUUAUCUUACAUACAAAUACUAACUCAGAAUAAAGAUCUAAAUGUAAGAUUUAGAAUUCCAAAAUUCCUAGAAGAAAACAUAGAGGAAUAGCUUCAUGAUAUUGCACUUGGAAGUGACAACAAAAGCAAAGGCAAUAAAAGCAAAUAAUUUUGAAUGGGACCAUAUCAAAUUUGGAAACUGCCUUGUUUGUUGUUACCUGUAGACUCAGGCUCCACCUUCUGAGGAUGCUCCCUUGUUUUUUCUUUUUUUUUUUUUUAUGGCCACACCUGAGGCAUAUGGAAGUUCCCAGGCGAGGGGUUGAAUCAGAGCUGCAGCUGCCAGCCUACACCACAGCCACAGCAACACCAGAUCCGAGAGGCAUUUGUCGCCUAUGCUGCAGCUUAUGGCAAUGCCGCAUCUUUAACCCUCGAGGCCAGGGGUUGAACCUGCAUCCCCAUGGAUACUAGUUGGGUUCUUAACCCAAUGAGCCACGACGGGAACUCAAGGAACACAUUUUUUA
Molecule: long non-coding RNA, 2101 nt
Filed under: Sus scrofa (pig)
Lineage: Eukaryota; Metazoa; Chordata; Mammalia; Artiodactyla; Suidae
Description: lncRNA (ENSSSCG00005024861.1)
Source: RNAcentral